CACGCUGUAAACGAUGAUCACUAGACGUCAAAUCUGCUUGCAGAUCUGGUGUCGUAGCUAACGCGUUAAGUGAUCCGCCUGGGGANAGGAACCUUACCUGGGCUUGACAUGUUUUUGACAGUCGUAGAAAUACGAUCUUCUAGGCGUAAGCUUAGACAAUUACACAGGUGC
RNAcentral lists this ribosomal RNA (171 nucleotides) under uncultured bacterium. RNAcentral's name for it is "partial 16S ribosomal RNA". The record is from RNAcentral.